RNAcentral lists this long non-coding RNA (435 nucleotides) under Homo sapiens (human). RNAcentral describes it as "non-protein coding lnc-SRRM3-5:1". The record is from RNAcentral. Lineage: Eukaryota; Metazoa; Chordata; Mammalia; Primates; Hominidae.
GGCAGAAGGAAGCGCCUCCUCAUGGCAGAGGCCUACCCAGGAGAAACCCAAGGGAAGGCACUGCCGGGCCAGCCCCUCUGCCAAAGCCAUUUUCUUUUUUCUUUUUUUUUUUUUUUUUUUGAGACACAGUUUCACUCUGUCUCCCAGACUGGAGUGCAGUGGCACAAUCUCGGCUCACUUCAACCUCUGCCUCCCCAGUUCAAACGAUUCUCCUGCCUCAACCUUCUGAGUAGCUGGGAUUACAUGAGCAUAGCACACCUAGCUAAUUUUUGUAUUUUUAGCAGAGACAGGGUUUUGCCAUGUUGCCCAGGCUAGACUCGAACUCUUGGCCUCAAGUGAUCCACCUGUCUCAGCCUCCCAAAGUGCUGGGAUUACAGGAGUGAGCCACCGCACCCAGCACUCGUCAAGGUCUUUGAUGGCAGGUUUUUCCAGGUG